Molecule: ribosomal RNA, 494 nt
Filed under: uncultured bacterium
Lineage: Bacteria
Description: partial 16S ribosomal RNA
Rfam family: Bacterial small subunit ribosomal RNA
Source: RNAcentral
UGAACGCUGGCGGCGUGCCUAAUACAUGCAAGUCGAGCGAACAGACGAGGAGCUUGCUCCUCUGACGUUAGCGGCGGACGGGUGAGUAACACGUGGAUAACCUACCUAUAAGACUGGGAUAACUUCGGGAAACCGGAGCUAAUACCGGAUAAUAUAUUGAACCGCAUGGUUCAAUAGUGAAAGACGGUUUUGCUGUCACUUAUAGAUGGAUCCGCGCCGCAUUAGCUAGUUGGUAAGGUAACGGCUUACCAAGGCAACGAUGCGUAGCCGACCUGAGAGGGUGAUCGGCCACACUGGAACUGAGACACGGUCCAGACUCCUACGGGAGGCAGCAGUAGGGAAUCUUCCGCAAUGGGCGAAAGCCUGACGGAGUAACGCCGCGUGAGUGAUGAAGGUCUUCGGAUCGUAAAACUCUGUUAUUAGGGAAGAACAAAUGUGUAAGUAACUAUGCACGUCUUGACGGUACCUAAUCAGAAAGCCACGGCUAACUACGG